Small nucleolar RNA from Callithrix jacchus (white-tufted-ear marmoset), 70 nucleotides. The record is from Ensembl. NCBI's taxonomy places the organism in Eukaryota, Metazoa, Chordata, Mammalia, Primates, Cebidae.
AAUCAAUGAUGAAACCUAUCUGAAAGCUGAUAACUUGAAGAAAAAUAUGUACAGAUUCAGCUUCUGAGAU